UGGGGAAUCUUGCACAAUGGGGGCAACCCUGAUGCAGCGACGCCGCGUGAGCGAUGAAGCCCCUCGGGGUGUAAAGCUCUUUCGGCAGGGAAGAUUAUGACGGUACCUGCAGAAUCAGCUGCGGCUAACUACGUGCCAGCAGCCGCGGUAAUACGUAGGCAGCAAGCGUUGUUCGGAGUUACUGGGCGUAAAGGGUGUGUAGGCGGUUCUCUAAGUUUGGUGUGAAAUCUCCCGGCUUAACCGGGAGGGUGCGUCGAAAACUGGAGGACUAGAGUGUGGGAUGGGUAAGUGGAAUUCCUGGUGUAGCGGUGAAAUGCGUAGAUAUCAGGAGGAACACCGGUGGUGUAGACGGCUUACUGGACCAUAACUGACGCUGAGACACGAAAGCGUGGGUAGCAAACAG
This 403-nucleotide ribosomal RNA is filed under the name uncultured bacterium. RNAcentral's name for it is "bacterial SSU rRNA". It matches the Rfam family "Bacterial small subunit ribosomal RNA", at positions 355 to 775 of the family's 1533-position model. The record is from RNAcentral.